This 3020-nucleotide long non-coding RNA is filed under the name Serinus canaria (Common canary). Its description in RNAcentral is "lncRNA (ENSSCAG00000001397.1)". The record is from RNAcentral. Lineage: Eukaryota; Metazoa; Chordata; Aves; Passeriformes; Fringillidae.
CUCUAAGGGUCUGUGGGGACUUGGCAGGGGGUCUCUGUGGGGCUGCCAGGGUUCUGACUCCCCCUCCCCACAGGGCAUCCACUGGUUCCCCUGGAAAGGCUUCAACGUCUCCAUCCCCUUCACCGAGAUGAAGCUGAGGCCCCCAGCGUGGCUGAGGGGGCUGGGGAGGGGGGAUCUCAGAGUCUGGGGUCCCCCUGAGUGCUGGGAAUGAGGGAUCCCAGAGUUUGGGGAGGGGUCCCAGAUGGAAUCUGGGGAGGCUGAAAGGUGAAACUUUUAUUGCGGGUAAAUAAAAGCCGUGGGUGACUCCUCUGUGCUGUGCUGAGCCAGGGUGGGAGGGACUGGGGCUGAGGGCAGGGUCCUUCCAGAGCCAAGGUCACCCCUGGUCAGGAGGGCAGCUCCAAAUCCUCCUGGCACUUCUGGUGCCAGUUCUGGUGCCAGUUCUGGUGCCAAUCCCGCGCUGGCCCUGGAGAUGCUGGAAUGUCCCAGCCUGGGCAUGGGAACACGUGGACAGGGAUGGGGUGGGAUGAACCAUCCAGGGAAGGCAAAAAGAGCUCAGAGGAUCAGAGAAACCUCCCUGGAACACAACUGCACACCUGCAAGGAGCACAAAGGGUGCCAGGCUGAGUGCCAGGCUGGGCAGAGGUGCCCCUUCCCUCCUGCCCACUCCUGCCACCUGCAGCUGCCCCAGCCCGGCUGCAGAGGCAGAACCUGCACGGCUCUGCCAGCACACGGGGGCUCAGGGCCAGCCCCAGGCAGCAGCGCCACAGCACCCGCACACCAACUGCCACAGCCUGGCACUGGGCACUGCCCACAGCCCCUCCUGGGCACAGAACCCACAGCUCAGCCCCCCCGGCCCAGGGGCAGAGCCCAGCCGGGACCUGAUCUGCAGAACCAAACCAAGCCCAGAGCUUUGGGCACAGCUGUGGAGCUGCUGUGGUUAUUGCAGAGCUGGAGCCAGGUGGGAAUCAUUGCCCUGCCAGGCCAUGGGCACCUCUGGGCACUCCAGACCCUUUCCCAGCUCCCUCUCCAAUCCACACCCAGGCUGUUCCACACGGGGUUCAGACACAUUCAUCCUACUGAUUUCCAGGGAUAUUUGCAGGGAAUUCUCCUUCCUCAGGAAGAAUCCCUGGCUCAUUCAGACCCUGCUUUCCAGAGCAGCCUCUCUCUCUGCUGCAGAGCCCAAGGCCCCCCUGAUCUCUGCCCUUGGUGGGAGCAGAUUCUCAGAGCACAGCCUUGCCAGCAGAACAGGCACUCAGAGCAAGCAGCCAGCUACAGACUUCACCCAAACACAAACAUUUCCCCUGAAUCCAAAGGGAUUUCUGCUCUGGAGAAUCCCCACUCUGCCUCAGAGCCCUCUCCUGGAGCUGCCAGCCCGGCCCCAGCCCUCCAUGGCCCCGCUGGGAAAAGCUGCACGGCCGGAGGGCUCGGGGGCUGGCCGGGCCUCAGAGCAAUUCUAGAGCUAAAGCACGAGAGACAUCAGCUCUGCUCAGAUAAUACAUGCCAGCGCUCAUCCCGGGCCCGGCCCUGCCUCCUCCUCCUCCUCCUCCUCCUCCUCCUCCUCCUCCCAGCCCGGGGCCGCUCCCCGCGGCUGCAGCCGGGCCCGGCCAGCGCCGCCCUUGGAGCUGCCCCUUCCACAGCCCCUGCAGCCCUGACUUUGGCACAUUUUCUCAGCCUUCUGAUCUUUACAUCCUUCCCAGACACUUUCUCACCCACCUUUUGGCAAUCACUGACGGGUUGGCAUUCCCUUAGGGAGCAGGAGGAAUUCCAUGGGCUGCUGGCCGCUCCGGUGUCAUUGCAGAGGUGGCACUGUCACCGCCAGCCCAGGGGCACCUUUGGCACUCUGGAAAUGUUGCAGUCAGAUAAUCAAGUUCCCUUUUUCCCCUCCAGACCAGCGCUGUGGCUGUGCCCGCCUUGUUCCGUGCCCCGCAGUGACACAGCCCUGGCACCGCCACCCUCGGGGGCUCUGCCUGGGGGCUCCCUGCUCCAUCCACCCCCGGGCCUUUCACCCCCAUCCCCUCUGCUCCCCCCCAGACACCCAAACUCUCUGGGCCACGGCUCCCACCGGGCCAGGAAGGAUUUUUUGCUCUUUCUGCCCCAAGUGAGUCAGAGAUGGACAAGGAGAUGAUUGGCAAUUCCAAGAGAACUGUGCUGUGACCAUGAAGAAAAGCUUUAGCGAUGCACAGCUCUGUGCUUGGAGCUCAGAUCUCCUCCCUUCUCCCCACAGUUCCCUUUUCCCCUGCACUGCUGCCACCACACAGCCUGAAUUGGCUGGGACAGGUACAGAGGAGCUGCACAGGUGUCCCUUACCUGGGGCAGGGGGGAUGGAAAAGCUCAGGGGGUGCUCAGGGGGGGCAGCAUGGCAGCCCCUGAGCUGCAGUGCAGUGCCAGGAAAGCAGUGUGCCCUGAUAGAUGGCACAGAGGAGCUGGCUGGCAGCCUGGGGAGGGGCAGGGCUGGCUGGUGCAGCCCCCAGGGCUGGAACAGACUGAGCACCCACCUGGAAGGUGAACCGGCCUCGGGCUGUGCACGAGGGCAGCUCCCAGCACAGUUGCUUUUUCCCCAUGGAGCCCUUUGUGGUGGUUUUGUCUGGGUUUAUUGAACCUUUUCAAAUGUCCGAAGUGAGCAGCUGCUGCCCACAAUGUGUGAAGGGGCUGCGGGCACUGGAGCCCAGCCCUGCCUGAGGAGCCUCCUGAGGGCACCUUUGGGCUGGCACUGAGGGGAACCUGAGCCAGACCAAGGUGACCCUGCUGCUCAGAUCUCUGGGCUCCGGAGAGAAGGAAACAAGGCUGAGGGAGAAGAAAGCGUCCCCCAAAAGCCAAAGCCAGCAGCUGCCCUGAAAAUCAGCUCUGGCUGCCUUUCCAUGGGGCCCACAGCCCCCAGUGCCCCGGGGCUGGCACACGCUGCCCUCGCCCAAAGGCUGCAGGAGAGGAUCUGGGCUGUGCCAGCUUCUGCCCUGAGGCACUGAACGCCCAUCCUCCCUGCCAGCCAAGGGCUCAGCAGGAAAACCCCCAGCCCAGACAGGC